Molecule: ribosomal RNA, 615 nt
Filed under: uncultured yeast
Lineage: Eukaryota; Fungi
Description: eukaryotic LSU rRNA
Rfam family: Eukaryotic large subunit ribosomal RNA
Source: RNAcentral
GCAUAUCAAUAAGCGGAGGAAAAGAAACCAACCGGGAUUGCCUUAGUAACGGCGAGUGAAGCGGCAAAAGCUCAAAUUUGAAAUCUGGUACCUUCGGUGCCCGAGUUGUAAUUUGGAGAGGGCAACUUUGGGGCCGUUCCUUGUCUAUGUUCCUUGGAACAGGACGUCAUAGAGGGUGAGAAUCCCGUGUGGCGAGGAGUGCGGUUCUUUGUAAAGUGCCUUCGAAGAGUCGAGUUGUUUGGGAAUGCAGCUCUAAGUGGGUGGUAAAUUCCAUCUAAAGCUAAAUAUUGGCGAGAGACCGAUAGCGAACAAGUACAGUGAUGGAAAGAUGAAAAGAACUUUGAAAAGAGAGUGAAAAAGUACGUGAAAUUGUUGAAAGGGAAGGGCAUUUGAUCAGACAUGGUGUUUUGUGCCCUCUGCUCCUUGUGGGUAGGGGGAUCUCGCAUUUCACUGGGCCAGCAUCAGUUUUGGUGGCAGGAUAAAUCCAUAGGAAUGUAGCUUGCCUCGGUAAGUAUUAUAGCCUGUGGGAAUACUGCCAGCUGGGACUGAGGACUGCGACGUAAGUCAAGGAUGCUGGCAUAAUGGUUAUAUGCCGCCCGUCUUGAAACACGGACC